UACAGAGGUCUCAAGCGUUGUUCGGAAUUACUGGGCGUAAAGCGCACGUAGGCGGCUUUCUAAGUCGGGGGUGAAAUCCUGGAGCUCAACUCCAGAACUGCCUUCGAUACUGGAGAGCUCGAGUCCGGGAGAGGUGAGUGGAACUGCGAGUGUAGAGGUGAAAUUCGUAGAUAUUCGCAAGAACACCAGUGGCGAAGGCGGCUCACUGGCCCGGUACUGACGCUGAGGUGCGAAAGCGUGGGGAGCAAACAGG
This 253-nucleotide ribosomal RNA is filed under the name uncultured bacterium. Its description in RNAcentral is "partial 16S ribosomal RNA". It matches the Rfam family "Bacterial small subunit ribosomal RNA", at positions 524 to 776 of the family's 1533-position model. The record is from RNAcentral.